GGGGGACUGGUCUAUCGGCUACGACGGCGGUCUCCAAAACCGCAAAGCGAGGUUCGACUCCUCGGUUCCCCG
Molecule: transfer RNA, 72 nt
Filed under: Actinomycetota bacterium
Lineage: Bacteria; Bacillati; Actinomycetota
Description: tRNA-Trp
Rfam family: tRNA
About the family: Transfer RNA (tRNA) molecules are approximately 80 nucleotides in length.
Source: RNAcentral